Sus scrofa (pig) is the source of this 2932-nucleotide long non-coding RNA. RefSeq lists it as uncharacterized. The record is from RefSeq and is a predicted model, not a curated record. NCBI's taxonomy places the organism in Eukaryota, Metazoa, Chordata, Mammalia, Artiodactyla, Suidae.
CGGCUCUCCUCUCCCUCAGCCUGGAGAUGGUCCCAGAUUGUCAUGAGACAGACCACCUUGCUCCUAGUGGCACACAGGACGUACACAAUGGCUGCGCAUGGAGUUAAUGACAUGAAAGUGCCACACUGACGUCUGCCCGUCCGGAGUAGCUGUUAACCCCGGGCAUUUUAUUGCCCCAUUUGCCAGGUCUCUCAUCUCAGCCGCCUACGAAGGUCAAAUCCUGCAUAUUUACGCCAAACUUGAGAGUUGACCAAGUGCCUUUCCCAUGCAUCUUCCUGUUUCACCCCAAGCCGAAAGGUUUGGAAAACAUGCCACCCUUUUAACCUCGGAGAGACUUCUGCCUGGGAAAAGAAUUAAGUGAAAUAAACUCUUUUGAGGGCCUGUGAUCAACCAGGCACCUCCCCUUUGUCACCCACCUGGUGCUGCUGAGGGAGGUGCUAGGGGCUGGCGGAGGGAUCUAGGGGGCUAGUGGGAACACGGGGCCAGGGUUUCAGUCUGGGAAGAAGGAAAAGCGCUGGAGAUGAUGGGGUGGUGAUGGUUACAUAACGAUGUGAAGAUACUCAAUGCCAGGGAACCGGGCAUUUAAAAACGAUUAGAUGGCCUGUUUCCUCCUAUGCGUAUUUUAACCACAAUUAAAAAAAAAAAAUCGGCUAAACGAGAUGUGUUUGUGAGCCCAGUCUGGCCUGAGGGCUGCCUGAGUGACCACAGGAGACGGGAAACUCUCUGAGAUCGGACCCCACCCACCAGCCACCGUCCUGCCAUCGUCCCCUUGGCUGCCCGAGCAAGAGCGUUUACGAGGAGUUCUUUUCAAAAGGUGCACACCCUCUCAGUCUGAGCAGAGGCUCUUUAACUGCUGGGCAAAAGCCGUGGAUACGGGGCUGUGGUACUUCAGGCAGCUUGGGGUGCUUUGGUCAUUGGCGGGGGGCGGGGGCGGCAAUCCGUGGACACAGCUGCCCGGAGUGACUUAUGUUUCGCAAAGAAGAAAUGUCCUCUUACUGUGGAAGCAAGAAGGAGGCUGGCUUCGGGACCUUCCCAGGCGGCCAGAGCCCGUCCUGCAACAAGAACCCAGGCCACGUUAGUGGCCGCAGAAAGCGCCUCCUCUGCUGGAGGACAUGACGAGGGAGGGGCUCGUCAGGGGUCCGAGCUGAUGGGGACACCGGAUGGCAGGCAGUUACACCCAUUUUACAGAUGAGGCACAGAGGCCCGGGAAAGCCAAGGGGUGGCCUCAAAGUCACCGGCCAGUGAGAGGCAGAGCUGGGUCUCUGGGUUCCUUAACAGAGUCCUUUCCUUCCAGACGUGGGGUGCUUGAGCCUUGGUGGGCUCCCAGUCUCACCAGAGAGGCCAGUGAACUCCACGGCCCCUCCUCCCAGGAGCGUGCUCACACACCCCAUUUUUUGUCACAGGCUGGCCCACAGGGAGCUCGAUAAUAGCGAGGUGACUGCUCAGAUUUCUUUUAAGCCAUGAUUGUGCCAGGUCCCGCAUCACCCAUCUUGGGCAGAACAGGAAGGCAUGCUUGUGGCAGAGAGCCCUGCCCAGCAGACAUCAGCACGCACGGGAGAGGGGCAGGGUCGCGUUUACCCAGCGCCAAUGAUCCCAGGCACAGGGGAAGAAGCAUCUUCGUGUUCAGGGCGCCUUUUGCAGCUCAUUCAGUCAUUGGAAUGAAACUGUCAAGUAGGCAGGCACUGGGACUCUCCAACAGACCAAGAAGCAGAAAUUCCAAGGAGGUGACAAGGCUGUGCAGGGACACAGCUGAGGAGGGGCCAAGCCAGCCAGGACCUUGGGGACUCCAGCGUGCCAGCUCCCUCUACCACCCCGUCCGUGCCCAUACACAUGGGCCUCUGACAGCCAACAGCCAUCACGUUGGUCCCCUGGUUGGUAUGAUACAGAGGAGAGACGUUCCCAAGGGUGACUUGAAAUGGGAAGCUGUCGCUUGCCUUGUAGCUCAGCUCCCCGAGGGGGUGACAAAUAACGGGACCACCUGGGCUCCACUGGCUGGUUGCGAAGGAUGUAAAUAUUUUCCAGGUUGCCGUGCUUGCCUCUGUGCUGUCUUCUUUCCUAAAACGACAACAACAAACCAGGGAGAUGAGUUCUUAAAGGGACCAUACCAGUGAGCAUGGUUUUCUGCGUGAAGUCAUCGGAACACACAAACCUUUAAGACGCUGGGAAGCCCACUCUCUCCUCGAUGUGUAUGGGCUUACAUUAUGAUAGCUGCAUACAAUUCCCCAGCUGCUCUCCAUGAGAAAUAACCUUAGGAGUUCCCACUGUGGCUCAGCGCGUGAAGGAUCCAGCGUCUCUAUGAGGAUGUGGGUUUGAUCCCUGGCCUCGCUGAGUGGAUUGAGGAUCUGGCGUUACCAUCAGUUGUGACACAGGUUGCAGAUGCAGCUUGGACCCAGUGUUGCCAUGGCUGUGGUAUAGGCUGGCAGGUGCACCUCCACCUCAACCCCCAGCCUGGAAACUUCCAUAUGCCACAGGUGCAGCUGUAUGAAUAAAUAACUAAAUAAAUAUAACCUUAGUUUGGAAUUGAUAAACCAUGCUCUCUUUAUCUGGGGGUGUUUCUGAACCUUGAAAAAAUAUGAGAGUUUUAUGUGAAGAAGCAUUUAUGUGUAUUUGUACUGAGAGGGUUCCUAGCUUUCAUGAGCCUCUCAAUGGGGCCCAGGCCCCAAAGAAGUUUAAGAACAAUAGAGGCAAAGGAAGACAGAGUCUGGGGUACUCAGGACUGGGUUCUUUCACCCACUCAACAAAAAGUUAUCAGGCACCUGCUGUAUCUCAGGCUCGGUGCCGGGCACUGAGGUUACACUGCCUGCUCUCACGUGGUCAAGGAGUCAGAGUGACCUAGGAAUCACAAAAGCAAUGUUAUGUCCCAGAUGUGAAGGAGGCCAGAGUGAGACAAAUGCAGGGGGCGUGGAAGGAACCAUCAGGCGGGUGGGGAGGG